RNAcentral lists this ribosomal RNA (440 nucleotides) under uncultured bacterium. Its description in RNAcentral is "partial 16S ribosomal RNA". It matches the Rfam family "Bacterial small subunit ribosomal RNA", at positions 338 to 795 of the family's 1533-position model. The record is from RNAcentral.
CCUACGGGAGGCAGCAGUGGGGGAUAUUGCACAAUGGGGGAAACCCUGAUGCAGCGACGCCGCGUGUGGGAAGACGGUCCUCUGGAUUGUAAACCACUGUCCCCAGGGACGAAGAUGACGGUACCUGGGGAGGAAGCUCCGGCUAACUACGUGCCAGCAGCCGCGGUAAUACGUAGGGAGCGAGCGUUGUCCGGAAUUACUGGGUGGAAAGGGAGCGUAGGCGGGGAUGCAAGUUGGGUGUCAAAACUACCGGCUCAACUGGUAGUCGCACUCAAAACUGCAGCUCUUGAGUGAAGUAGAGGCAGGCGGAAUUCCUAGUGUAGCGGUGAAAUGCGUAGAUAUUAGGAGGAACACCAGUGGCGAAGGCGGUCUGCUGGACAGCAACUGACGCUGAGGCGCGAAAGCGUGGGGAGCAAACAGGAUUAGAUACCCUGGUAGUC